UCGGGGCUUUCCUUCGGGACAGGGGAGACAGGUGGUGCAUGGUUGUCGUCAGCUCGUGUCGUGAGAUGUUGGGUUAAGUCCCGCAACGAGCGCAACCCCUAUCUUUAGUAGCCAGCGGCCAGGCCGGGCACUCUAGAGAGACCGCCAGGGAUAACCUGGAGGAAGGUGGGGAUGACGUCAAAUCAUCAUGCCCCUUAUGAGCAGGGCUACACACGUGCUACAAUGGCGUAAACAAAGGGAGGCAGAGCCGCGAGGCCGAGCAAAUCUCAAAAAUAACGUCUCAGUUCGGAUUGUAGUCUGCAACUCGACUACAUGAAGCUGGAAUCGCUAGUAAUCGCGAAUCAGAAUGUCGCGGUGAAUACGUUCCCGGGUCUUGUACACACCGCCCGUCACACCAUGGGGGUCAGUAACGCCCGAAGUCAGUGACCCAACCGUAAGGAGGGAGCUGCCGAAGGUGGGACCGAUAACUGGGGUGAAGUCGUAACAAGGUAGCCGUAUCGG
This 501-nucleotide ribosomal RNA is filed under the name uncultured bacterium. RNAcentral describes it as "bacterial SSU rRNA". It matches the Rfam family "Bacterial small subunit ribosomal RNA", at positions 1007 to 1508 of the family's 1533-position model. The record is from RNAcentral.